Molecule: ribosomal RNA, 493 nt
Filed under: Haplosporidium pinnae
Lineage: Eukaryota; Endomyxa; Ascetosporea; Haplosporida; Haplosporidiidae
Description: SSU rRNA
Rfam family: Eukaryotic small subunit ribosomal RNA
Source: RNAcentral
UUGAGCCGAAGUAAUGAUUGAUAGGAACAAUUGGGGGUGCUAGUAUCGCCGGGCCAGAGGUAAAAUUCUUUAAUUCCGGUGAGACUGCCUUAUGCGAAAGCAUUCACCAAGUGUGUUUUCUUUAAUCAAGAACUAAAGUUGAGGGAUCGAAGACGAUCAGAUACCGUCGUAGUCUCAACCAUAAACUAUGUCGACUAAGCAUUGGGCAAGUGGAUACUUCCUCAGCACUUCACGAGAAAUCAAAGUUUUCGGACUCAGGGGGAAGUAUGCUCGCAAGAGUGAAACUUAAAGGAAUUGACGGAAGGGCACCACCAGGUGUGGAGCCUGCGGCUUAAUUUGACUCAACACGGGGAAACUUACCAGGGCCAGACAUAGCCAGGAUUGACAGAUUGAAGUUCUUUCUUGAUUCUAUGCAUGGUGGUGCAUGGCCGUUCUUAGUUGGUGGAGUGAUUUGUCUGGUUAAUUCCGAUAACGAACGAGACCUCAGCCAUCU